GAUGAAGAACGUAGCGAAAUGCGAUAAGUAAUGUGAAUUGCAGAAUUCAGUGAAUCAUCGAAUCUUUGAACGCACAUUGCGCCCCUUGGUAUCCCGAGGGGCAUGCCUGUUCGAGCGUCAUUUCACCACUCAAGCCUGGCUUGGUGUUGGGCGACGUCCCCUUUAGGGACGCGCCUCGAAACGCUCGGCGGCGCGGCACCGGCUUUAAGCGUAGCAGCAUAUACCUCGCUCGUGGGGUCAGGACCGGCGCCUCAGCCGCUAAAAUUGGGGAAGGGGGACCUCGCGCCCCCUCUCCCUCAUUCUCAGGUUGACCUCGAAUCAGGUGGGGAUACCCGCUGAACUUAAGCAUAUCAAUAAGCGGAGGA
This 365-nucleotide unclassified non-coding RNA is filed under the name soil metagenome. RNAcentral's name for it is "partial contains 5.8S ribosomal RNA, internal transcribed spacer 2, and large subunit ribosomal RNA". The stretch from base 1 to 120 matches the Rfam family "5.8S ribosomal RNA", at positions 35 to 154 of the family's 154-position model. The record is from RNAcentral.